GAUGAACGCUGGCGGCGUGCCUAAUACAUGCAAGUCGAGCGAACAGAUAAGGAGCUUGCUCCUUUGACGUUAGCGGCGGACGGGUGAGUAACACGUGGGUAACCUACCUAUAAGACUGGGAUAACUUCGGGAAACCGGAGCUAAUACCGGAUAAUAUUUCGAACCGCAUGGUUCGAUAGUGAAAGAUGGUUUUGCUAUCACUUAUAGAUGGUCCCGCUCCGUAUUAGCUGGUUGGUAAGGUAACGGCUUACCAAGGCGACGAUACGUAGCCGACCUGAGAGGGUGAUCGGCCACACUGGAACUGAGACACGGUCCAGACUCCUACGGGAGGCAGCAGAAGGGAAUCUUCCGCAAUGGGCGAAAGCCUGACGGAGCAACGCCGCGUGAGUGAUGAAGGUCUUAGGAUCGUAAAACUCUGUUAUUAGGGAAGAACAUACAUGUAAGUAACUGUGCACGUCUUGACGGUACCUAAUCAGAAAGCCACGGCUAACUACGUG
This 497-nucleotide ribosomal RNA is filed under the name uncultured bacterium. RNAcentral describes it as "partial 16S ribosomal RNA". It matches the Rfam family "Bacterial small subunit ribosomal RNA", at positions 28 to 507 of the family's 1533-position model. The record is from RNAcentral.